Molecule: ribosomal RNA, 305 nt
Filed under: uncultured bacterium
Lineage: Bacteria
Description: bacterial SSU rRNA
Rfam family: Bacterial small subunit ribosomal RNA
Source: RNAcentral
UGUUCCUACGGGAGGCAGCAGUGGGGAAUAUUGGGCAAUGGGCGCAAGCCUGACCCAGCAAUGCCGCGUGAAGGAAGAAGGCCUUCGGGUUGUAAACUUCUUUUAUCAGGGACGAAGGAUGUGACGGUACCUGAUGAAUAAGCUCCGGCUAACUACGUGCCAGCAGCCGCGGUAAUACGUAGGUGGCAAGCGUUGUCCGGAUUUACUGGGUGUAAAGGGCGUGUAGCCGGGCCGGCAAGUCAGAUGUGAAAUCCCAAGGCUCAGCCUUGGAACUGCAUUUGAAACUGUUGGUCUUGAGUAUCGGA